RNAcentral lists this long non-coding RNA (2499 nucleotides) under Sorghum bicolor (sorghum). RNAcentral describes it as "long non-coding RNA (SBIC_LNC001987)". The record is from RNAcentral. Lineage: Eukaryota; Viridiplantae; Streptophyta; Magnoliopsida; Poales; Poaceae.
AUCUUCGUGUGAGGUUUGCUACUAGCUCUUCCUCAAGGGAUCCUUCACCAUCAGAUGAGGAUAUGGAUGGUGAAGUAGAGAUUCUGGGAUUUAAGAUGCCUACUGAAGAAAGAGUGAGAAAAAGGUAACAUUAAUUUGCAAGACAUGGUUUUACCUUGCAUCAUCCUUUCAAUAUCAACAAAAGAUAUCUCCCAUGUGAGACUUCUGAACUUAUUUGUUGUUACUUAACUUUAGAAAGGAAUCUAAUAGAGAAUCAGCCAGGCGCUCAAGAUAUAGAAAAGCCGCUCACUUAAAGGACCUGGAGGACCAGGUGUGGUAUCGCAAAUUAUAUUGUUAUUAUAAUACAGUUUUCAUUUGCCUAAUGAAAAAGGAAUCAAGAGUUUGUGAGUAAUUAAUGAGUGUAAAAUGGUGUUUAAUUACAGGUAGAAAAAUUAAAAGCUGAGAAUUCUUGUUUGCUGAGGCGCCUUGCUGCUAUGAACCGAAAGUACAAUGAAGCUAAUGUUGACAACAGGGUACUGAAAGCAGACAUGGAGACCCUAAGAGCUAAGGUAUGAUAUGCUGUAGUAACCGUGUUUUUUUUUAUGCUUUAACACAUCAAAAAUCAUUGAAUCCUGAAGUGCCCUCUUGCAAAUAAUGCUCUCCAUGCAUAGUUUUCUUUUAAGGGACGACAAGAUUUUCCUGCAAAUUUUAUUAGAUGGAAGAAAAUAAAAAAAAUAUGUCUGUAGUUUUUUUUUGACAAGCACAGACGCAGACGCUUAAUAUGCAUGCAUAUUCACCCCUAUCAACAUAAAUACGCAAACACUACCCAUAUGAGCACCUCUAAAAGAUUAUGUCGGCAUAUCUUGAAAUUAACGAAGUCAGCACAAACGCGUCGCUCACAUGGUAUAAAAUCUGGUUGCAGGUGAAAAUGGGAGAGGACUCCCUAAAGCGCGUUAUAGAGAUGAGCUCACUGACCUCCAUACCCAUUCCAGAGCUUCCCAGCAGCUCUGAUGUUCCAGUGCCUAUCCACGAGGAGAUCGUCAACUAUUUCACUACCACCCCAGCAGACGAUGCUUUGGCUGACAACAGCUUCAUGCCCAUGCCAGAGCCAUUGGCAUUGCAACUCCAAGCUGAAGAGCCAACCAUCAAUGGAGCUCUAAAUGCCACAGAGAUGAACCAAAUCGCUACGCACUGCGCGGCAGGGAGCCAACCAUCAAUGGAGCUUAUCCAGGAGACAAUGGGAGCCAUGAUGCCGACCUCCCCCGGAUCAACUCUCCAGGAAUCUGAGCUGCUGGGUCCAAACGAGACCAUAAACAUGCAUACGUAUUAGGCAUUGCAAGUUUUGUAAUCUCGUUUGUAGUGAUCACCUGUGCUUGCACUGCGUGGGCGGACUUGUGGUUUCUUCUUUAUGUCGUGGAAUCCCUGGGAACAUUUGCAGCUGUCGCUGAAUAACUGAAUAAGGCUCAUUGUCUCCCUUGACAUUUCAAAUAAAUUGAGAACCAUGAGUGUUUUUUUUUUCCAGGUACCAAAAGAUUGGUAGAUAGGGAUUGGGAGUUGUUGGAGAUGUGUUUUUCAAUCUUGCCAAAAAUCAAAGGAUGGGGAGAGUGUUUUGGAAACUCUUGGACAUGCUCUGACUUUCCAUUCAGAACAACUCUUAGUGUCAACCACCUAGACUUACAGUGUUUGUGAUGGCCCCCGGAUAAUCUUUGUGACCAUUUGAUCAUGAAAUUUCUGCAUAUUAUACUGCCAGUUCCCAUCCAACCACACUUCAUGCAAUGCUCCUGCUCGUCUAUUUCUACUAGACCAUACUCAUAUCCGUGACAUACUUAGUACACUUAACAACUAAUCUAAAUGUGUUGCCGGGAUCAAUCAUGAUAGGCCUUGUUUAGUUCCUGAAGCGAAAAAUUUCACGACAUUGUAACAUUUUCGUUUGUUUGUGGUAAUUAUUGUCUAAUCAUGGACUGACUAGGUUCAAAAGAUUCGUCUCGUCAAUUCCAACCAAACUGUGCAAUUAGUUUUUAUUUUCGUCUAUAUUCAAUACUCCAUGCAUGCGUCUAAAGAUUCGAUGUGACAGAGAAUCUUGAAAAUUUUUGGGUUUUUGGGUGGAAGCAAACAAUGCCAUAGAAUGAAUCAAGAUAACAAAAUCAAGGAGUUAAACAAUACCCUACACGACACGUUUCCUAAACCAAGAAAACUACCAUUUUCGUAGUAGUUGGAGAUUCAACUUACCAAAUACGCCAACCACUCGAAUCUAUAUUGCUUCACCAACUACACAUAAGCUGCCUACAAAGCAAAGAAGAACAAAACCCGAAUCAAAUUGAAGAACCCUAACCUUAGUCCUCAUCCAACAAUAUAUUGUAAUGCAGACCACAAAAAAGGGUCAGAUGUAGCCACAUACCUUUUCUCCAUCACAAUAGUAGUCCUGCGAAACAACGCUACAAGGAGGGGGGCAGGGGCUUGUGGGCGAGGGCGCCAGGCGGGCAAGCCCUAGGUUGUGCGGAGCAGAAAAAGAAGGGGACA